RNAcentral lists this long non-coding RNA (469 nucleotides) under Chrysemys picta bellii (western painted turtle). RNAcentral describes it as "lncRNA (ENSCPBG00000013145.1)". Lineage: Eukaryota; Metazoa; Chordata; Testudines; Emydidae. The record is from RNAcentral.
GUCUUCUCUCCUUCCAUACAGUUCUGGAAAAAUGGUCAAGGGCAAUAAAUCUAUAUUUGACUAACUGGGAUAAGAGCACAUUCCCCAGCAUGGGUACAUUGCGAUUCUUCGAUACAAUUCUUCCAUUCUAUUGUCAUGUGACCAGCAACUGGCUGCAAUGUGAGGAUCUGGAGCUCAAGCAGGCCAUCAUCAAAGCCCUUGGUCCCAUGAUGAGCCUCUUGCUACACAAAGAGGAGCAUCACGACCAGAUAUUUGAACUGAUCUCAUGGCUCCUUGAGCAAUAUAAGGAGGACAUUGAUGUUUUUCACGUCACCAAGAGUCUGAGCCAGCUCUUGGAGGUCUCUUUUGAAUAUAAGAUCCCUCUACCUAAAGAGAAGUUUCAAGCCAUCUGCAGUGCUCUGCACAACCAGGUGAGGGGUGGUUUUGCUUGGAUCCCUUGAGCUUAGGCCCAGCAGAGCUGAAGCAUAUU